GCACAGUGUAAAUAUAUUGGCUUUAUUUGUGUCCAUUCGGACGCCUCACAGACAACAUCCAGGUAAAAAGACCAUUAAAUAAAACGCCUUCAGCGAUUGCAAUGCAAAAAUAAAUAUCAAUCCUCGGCUGCAGCGGCAGCCGCGCAGCGCCCCAAGUCCCCUCGGUCAGCUCAACAAUUAUAAAAGUGUUCAGUGAGAGUGUCGGCGUGAGUGUGAACCGGUAUGCGCUGGGGGUGGGGUAUGCACAGUGGAGCGGUGUGCAGAAUCGGAGUUGCGAGCCAAAGGCCUUUGCAGCGGCGACCCCGGGCGAGCCGACUCAGCGCGGGCCGCCUCCCGCGCACGCUCACCGCAGAGUUCGUACUGGGAAAGAGUUAAAAAAUAAACAUUUACAAGGGCAAAGAAAGCGGCUUCCCCUCCCUGGCGUCCCCGGACGCGCUCCGGGGUCCCGGCUGAUCCGCAGCCGGGCUACAGUCCCAGAGAGUGAGGGGAGCUGAUCCCGGGUAGUCGUGGCCGCCUGGGGCGCGGGUCCCCUCCGGAUGCUUCCGCUGUUGCUCGGCGCUUGGCGGCGGAGCAAGUCCCCAAGUAGGCUACCGCCUCACAGCGCCGAGUCGGAGUCGCUGGAGUCCAGGCUGUUCCUCAGUUUGCAGCUACCGAGCGGCUCCCUCUGCAGCGACAGGCUCUGCGUGCUGCGGCGCAGGCAUUCCAAGCUCUGCAGGAACGACUUCUUGGCCUUUUCCUCCUCCAUCGGGGACACCCCCUCCUCCUCCACCUCCUGGAUCUCAUCGAAGGUCACCGGCUGCGUCUUGAAGCGGGACUGGCGCGGUCGCCGCAGCCGGCCCUUGCCCUUGGGCAGCUUGGCGGGCCGCACCGGCUGCGGGAACUCAUCGGCCAGGCACACGAAGUGUGGCAUCACCGCUUGGUAGCUAGAAGAGAUGCCCAUGAGCUCGCCGGGCUUGGCGGCCGC
This 964-nucleotide long non-coding RNA is filed under the name Rattus norvegicus (Norway rat). RNAcentral's name for it is "long non-coding RNA NONRATT018382". Lineage: Eukaryota; Metazoa; Chordata; Mammalia; Rodentia; Muridae. The record is from RNAcentral.